RNAcentral lists this long non-coding RNA (1606 nucleotides) under Homo sapiens (human). RNAcentral describes it as "non-protein coding lnc-NPAP1-8:3". The record is from RNAcentral. Lineage: Eukaryota; Metazoa; Chordata; Mammalia; Primates; Hominidae.
UGUUAAUCUAAAAUUAUUUCAAAAUAAAUAGAAGUGUAGACAUGGCUCAUAUAUUUGAGAUCAGGUCUCCCUGUUAACUUAAUUGAGCCUUCAUGGAACUAAAUCUCAUGGUACAAAUGCAGUAAGGUUAUAAAAUAUAAAUCAGAUGAGUUUCUAUUUUACUCUCUUCUUCAGGGAACACUAAGGCCCAUUCUUCCUCUCAAGUAUCCAGAAAUAAAGUUGCUCCAAGUAACAAGUGGACAGCAUAAAAGAUUGUAUGGAAACUAUAAUGCAUCUACAUCUGCAGUAACUAAUCAUAAAAUGAUUUGUAUGAUCAUUCUUCACAUGAUUAGAAUUACUAUGGGAAAGAAGAAAAAGAAAUGCAACUUUCUUGAUUUAAAAUUUUAUCUGUGCAAGUGUGGUGGCACACACCUGUAGUCAGUCCCAACUGCUAGGGAGGGUGGGUAGGAUGAUCAUGUGAUACCAGGAGUUUGAGGCUAUGUAGUGUACUAUGAUUGUGUUAGUGAAUAACCAGUGCAUUCCAGUCUGGGCAAUGUAGUUAAACCCCAUUAAAUAAAUAAAUAAAUAAGUUACAGAGGUCGUUGUUUAUAUUUCUAUGACUAGGGCUGAAAUCCUCUAGAUAGAGAUUUUUUUUUUUUUUUUGAGAUAGAGUGUCGCUCUGUCACCCAGGCUGGAGUGCAGUGGCGUGUCCUCAGCUCACUGCAAGCUCUGCCUCCCAGAGUCAUGCCAUUCUCCUGCCUCAGCCACCCCUGCAGGUGGGACUACAGGUGCCUGCCACCACACCCAGCUAAUUUUUUUUUCUUUUUAGUAGAGACAGGGUUUCACGGUGUUAGCCAGGAUGGUCCCAAUCUCCUGACCUCGUGAUCCGCUCACGUCUGCCUCCUAAAGUGCUGGGAUUACAGGUGUAAGCCACCACGCCCAACCUGAGAUAUUUCUUUAUCUUUGGGGAGCCACCACUCCAGUGCAAACUUUCAAAUAAUGCCUUGCCAUUUUUAGUUUCCCUCCCUAGGAUUCCUGGAACCAUAGUUCAUAAAAUUAUCUCACAGCGUGUGUUUUAUUUUUACUUCUGUUUGCUUUAAGUCCUCUCUGGAUGGUGGCUAUAACCUAUAGCCUUGCCCACUACGACUCAGGGUUUGGUACUGGCUGUGCCUUUCAUGGGAUGCUUUCUUAUCCUGGUCGAUGGCCUAAAGCCCAACUGUCCAGCUUACAUCCAGAUCCUUUGGCAUUUGAGAGUUGCUUUGUGUAUACGGCCCUUUAAUGGAGCAAAUGGCCAGCCAGGAAACCAAAGUAUGGACAAGGGGAAAGAAGCAUCUGUGGAGGAAGUUUUACAAGCGACCCUCCUCAUCCAUGUGGGUGGCGUUCCCAUAUGCUACAUGUCUGUGGGCCACUAUGUGUGUUUAAAGCUUUUUAGUAAAACGUUACUAAAAACUAUGACUCACUGUGGUGAAAAAGGUGGGAAAACAGUGACAACAGUAAGUUUGCUGCUGUUAUUAUCUAUGUGAGUGGUCACAAAAGCACAGGUAGCAGCUGAGGCAAGGGUAGGGAAGCUAGGAAAAGAAUCGCAGUGAGAAAGGGAUGAGAACUUCCAUGUCUGUGUUAAUGUCUG